AGUUAAAACUUUCAACAACGGAUCUCUUGGUUCUGGCAUCGAUGAAGAACGCAGCGAAAUGCGAUAAGUAAUGUGAAUUGCAGAAUUCAGUGAAUCAUCGAAUCUUUGAACGCACAUUGCGCCCAUUAGCAUUCUAGUGGGCAUGCCUGUUCG
RNAcentral lists this ribosomal RNA (153 nucleotides) under Muscodor sp. CA-01. Its description in RNAcentral is "5.8S ribosomal RNA". It matches the Rfam family "5.8S ribosomal RNA". From Rfam's summary of the family: 5.8S ribosomal RNA (5.8S rRNA) is a component of the large subunit of the eukaryotic ribosome. RNAcentral also lists the same sequence under 1 other name. Lineage: Eukaryota; Fungi; Ascomycota; Sordariomycetes; Xylariales. The record is from RNAcentral.